Molecule: long non-coding RNA, 1444 nt
Filed under: Homarus americanus (American lobster)
Lineage: Eukaryota; Metazoa; Arthropoda; Malacostraca; Decapoda; Nephropidae
Description: uncharacterized LOC121864775, transcript variant X3
Source: RNAcentral
CUCACCCUGCCUGCCCAGCCGUGCCUCACCCUGCCCUGCCCUGCCUCACCCUGCCCUGCCCUGCCUCACCCUGCCGUGCCCUACCCAGAGAAAGAAGAUACUGGUACUAGGGUCAACUGGAUGUUAGUGAUGAACAUUUGACCAACUUUUCUGAUUUGGUUUUACUAACACCAGAAGGAGUGAAUAUAUUUGGACGAAACUUUGUGAAAAUGUUAUAGACAAUCUAUUGUUAAUAUUUAGAAGUUGCCAUCUGGUUAGGUUAGCUUAGAUUAGGUUAAGUUAGUUUUUAUUUAGUUUUGAGGUUUUUACAUUGUUUGAUCUCCCAUUUUUUUAAUAGCUCAACUACUGCUAAUUUCAGACGACAAUAAAGGUCAUAUUUGUAUUUAACUUGAUGAUUUAUACUAUAAAAACCCAUUUUCAAAAGUCAUUUAGGUGGUGGCACCUUCCAAAUAUUAACCGUAGUCUACCUAACUUACCAAAAUAACCGGUAAAUUUGCCAUUUUCAACCAAUAUGGCUCUCGAGCUUAGCAAUGUGUUUGGUAAAUUUAUUGACCAACUCCCAACUCCCUUUGAAGCUUAAAAUUUGAUUCAUUAAGUCAUUUGAUUCUACCGUAACAUCCAUUUAUGUCAUAAAUCUCCUGUUUCAUAGUUAUGACCCCCAAACCUAACCUAACAUCUCUGAAUGGAUUCUCGUAUCCAUUUACUGUAUCUUUUUAAUAGAAUGUAAUUAACAUCUCCACAAAGUUUCUUAACAAUCUAUUAACUCCUUCUGCUUAGUCUAAAAAUCUACCUUACCGACAACCAGACAAUUAUCCUCCAUGUAUUUUUAAUGAAACACAUUUUUAGACAUUCUGGGGGACUCUACCAAGGCCACCUAAAAGCGAAGGCCUGGGUCUCCCGUGCAAAUCUGGUGAUGACGUCACAACUGAAGGCAGACAGCACCAGUCUCCUAAACACGUAGUGAGAGAGUGGAGGAACUUAUCGGUCUACAGUACUUUUAUUCUCAUUUCUCUUUUUCUGGACUGGAUUUCAUCAAAGGGAUUGUAUAUCCACGUAAUCCUACAUGAUUAAUGGCUAAAGCUCCAACAGUGCGUGACAGAGACGUGACCGAUCGCCCAAGCGGCUAACAAGUCGAUCAGUGGCGAAGAGGAUAAAAGUAAAAGGUUCCCAACAGCCGAGCCUCAGUUACGCAACAUAAUAACUAUGGCAAAUGAAGUUGGAGGUGAAGGGUUCUCUGACUUAACAGCGGCAGAGGUGCAAGAAGAGUUAUUGGGAAAUGUUGGGGAUCCAUUUACAAGUGAUGAACUAGAACAAUUAGUGGAGCUGCAGGAUGAAACAGAAGAUGAAGUGAGUGAUGAUGAAAAUAAGAACUUAACUUUAGAUAAUCUUGGUGAAGUAAUAAGAAUAAGUAAGGCCCUCUCUGCUCGUCUCUAUGACAUUGAUC